AUUUUGGACAAUGGUCGCAAGCCUGAUCCAGCCAUGCCGUGUGAGUGAAGAUGGCCUUCGCGUUGUAAAGCUCUUUCGGUUGGAAAGAAAUCGCGCCGGAUUAUACCCCGCGCGGAUGCCGGUACCCUCAUAAGUAGCACCGGCUAACUACGUGCCAUCAGCCGCGGUAAUACGUAGUGUGCGAGCGUUAAUCGGAAGUACUGGGCGUAAAGCGUGCGCAGGCGGUUGAUUAAGACAGGCGUGAAAUCCCCGGGCUUAACCUGGGAACUGCGCUUGUGACUGGUCAGCUAGAGUACGGCAGAGGGGGGUGGAAUUCCACGUGUAGCAGUGAAAUGCGUAGAGAUGUGGAGGAACACCGAUGGCGAAGGCAGCCCCCUGGGCCGAUACUGACGCUCAUGCACGAAAGCGUGGGUAGCAAACAGG
RNAcentral lists this ribosomal RNA (423 nucleotides) under uncultured bacterium. RNAcentral describes it as "partial 16S ribosomal RNA". It matches the Rfam family "Bacterial small subunit ribosomal RNA", at positions 361 to 776 of the family's 1533-position model. The record is from RNAcentral.